AUACGUAGGUGGCGAGCGUUGUCCGGAAUUACUGGGUGUAAAGGGCGUGUAGGCGGGGGUGCAAGUCAGAUGUGAAAGACCAUGGCUCAACUGUGGGGGUGCAUCUGAAACUGUGUCUCUUGAGUGCUGGAGAGGGAAGCGGAAUUCCUAGUGUAGCGGUGAAAUGCGUAGAUAUUAGGAGGAACACCGGUGGCGAAGGCGGCUUCCUGGACAGCAACUGACGCUGAGGCGCGAAAGCGUGGGUAGCGAACAGGAUUAGAUACCCUGGUAGUCCACGCCGUAAACGAUGGAUACUAGGUGUAGGAGGUAUCGACCCCUUCUGUGCCGCAGUAAACACAAUAAGUAUCCCACCUGGGGAGUACGGUCGCAAGACUGAA
RNAcentral lists this ribosomal RNA (377 nucleotides) under uncultured bacterium. Its description in RNAcentral is "bacterial SSU rRNA". It matches the Rfam family "Bacterial small subunit ribosomal RNA", at positions 523 to 898 of the family's 1533-position model. The record is from RNAcentral.